CGCUGCGGUCGCAACACGGACCGGCUAAAAAUUUCGUGCAGUUUGUCAACAGAAUAGAUAGUAAUAUCAUUAUUAUUAGCCAUGGGCCUACAGACUCAGCAAAUUGAUGUGAAAGACCAAAAACUAUUCGAGUACGUUUUAACAUGGUAUCUGAGAAACCUCCAAAAGAACCCUAUAUUGACCAAGUCAAUUACAAGUGGUGUGGUCGCAGGCCUGGGCGAAUGCCAUAUGGGCAGUACAUCAUAAUGAAGAGUAAAUCCAGCAGCGACAGCGCUACGCCGGGACCAGUGGCUGCGAAAGAGUUCAAACUACGAGUGCUCUCAUCAGCGCCCCGCUCACGCACAACUACUACAUGCUGCUAGACGCGCGCGUGCCCGUCACGUCGUCGAACGCGGCGCUGAAACGACUGCUCAUCGAUCGUGGAAUCUUCGCUCCCAUCCUCAUCUUCAUCUACUUUUAUGUGAUGCAGCGGGUAGAGGGAGGCUCGCACGAAGACGCUGUGAAGAAGAUCAAGCAGAGUUUCUGGCCGGCCGUGCUCAUGAACUGGAAGUUUUGGACCAUCAUUCAGUACGUCAACCUGAAC
Molecule: long non-coding RNA, 583 nt
Organism: Priapulus caudatus
Lineage: Eukaryota; Metazoa; Priapulida; Priapulimorpha; Priapulimorphida; Priapulidae
Exons: 4
Source: RefSeq, a predicted model, not a curated record